RNAcentral lists this ribosomal RNA (440 nucleotides) under uncultured bacterium. Its description in RNAcentral is "partial 16S ribosomal RNA". It matches the Rfam family "Bacterial small subunit ribosomal RNA", at positions 338 to 795 of the family's 1533-position model. The record is from RNAcentral.
CCUACGGGUGUCAGCAGUCGGGAAUAUUGCUCAAUGGGGGAAACCCUGAAGCAGCAAAGCCGCGUGGAGGAUUAAGGUUUUAGGAUUGUAAACUCCUUUUUUGCGAGAAGCUAAUGACGGUAUCUCACGAAUAAGCACCAGCUAACUCCGUGCCAGCAGCCGCGAUCAUACGGAGGGUGCCAGCGUUAAUCGGGAUUAAUGGGGGUAAAGAGUGCUCAGGCGGGGUUUUAAGUAAGAGGUGAAAUCCUGUAGCUUAACUACAGAACUGCAUUUGAAACUAUGAGUCUUGAGUGGGGGAGAGGUAGGUGGAAUUCUUGGUGUAGGGGUAAAAUACGUAGAUAUCAAGAGGAAUACUGAUUGCGAAGGCGACCUACUGGAACAUUACUGACGCUGAUGCACGAAAGCGUGGGGAGCAAACAGGAUUAGAUACCCUAGUAGUC